AUUGAACGCUGGCGGCAGGCUUAACACAUGCAAGUCGAGCGAGCGGCGGACGGGUGAGUGAUGUCUGGGAAACUUCCUGCUGGAGGGGGGUAACUACUGUAAAAGGUAGCUAAUACCGCAUACCAUCAGAUGUACCCAGAUGGGAGUAGUUAGUAGGUGGGGUAAUGGCUCACCUAGGCGACGAUCCCUAGCUGGGCUGAGAGGAUGACCAGCCACACUGGAACUGAGACACGGUCCAGACUCCUACGGGAGGCAGCAGUGGGGAAUAUUGCACAAUGGGCGCAAGCCGGAUGCAGCCAUGCCGCGUGUGUGAAGAAGGCCUUCGGGUUGUAAAGCACUUUCAGCGAGGAGGCGUUACUCGCAGAAGAAGCACCGGCUAACUCCGUGCCAGCAGCCGCGGUAAUUC
Molecule: ribosomal RNA, 406 nt
Filed under: uncultured bacterium
Lineage: Bacteria
Description: partial 16S ribosomal RNA
Rfam family: Bacterial small subunit ribosomal RNA
Source: RNAcentral